This 1027-nucleotide ribosomal RNA is filed under the name Phocaeicola dorei. RNAcentral describes it as "partial 16S ribosomal RNA". Lineage: Bacteria; Pseudomonadati; Bacteroidota; Bacteroidia; Bacteroidales; Bacteroidaceae. The record is from RNAcentral.
AUUUGACGUCAUCCCCACCUUCCUCACAUCUUACGAUGGCAGUCUUGUCAGAGUCCUCAGCAUCACCUGUUAGUAACUGACAACAAGGGUUGCGCUCGUUAUGGCACUUAAGCCGACACCUCACGGCACGAGCUGACGACAACCAUGCAGCACCUUCACACUCGCUAUUGCUAGCUGAACCGUUUCCGGAUCAUUCGAGUGCAAUUUAAGCCCGGGUAAGGUUCCUCGCGUAUCAUCGAAUUAAACCACAUGUUCCUCCGCUUGUGCGGGCCCCCGUCAAUUCCUUUGAGUUUCACCGUUGCCGGCGUACUCCCCAGGUGGAAUACUUAACGCUUUCGCUUGGCCGCUUGCCGUAUAUCGCAAACAGCGAGUAUUCAUCGUUUACCGUGUGGACUACCAGGGUAUCUAAUCCUGUUUGAUACCCACACUUUCGAGCCUCAAUGUCAGUUGCAGCUUAGCAGGCUGCCUUCGCAAUCGGAGUUCUUCGUGAUAUCUAAGCAUUUCACCGCUACACCACGAAUUCCGCCUGCCUCAACUGCACUCAAGACAUCCAGUAUCAACUGCAAUUUUACGGUUGAGCCGCAAACUUUCACAACUGACUUAAACAUCCAUCUACGCUCCCUUUAAACCCAAUAAAUCCGGAUAACGCUCGGAUCCUCCGUAUUACCGCGGCUGCUGGCACGGAGUUAGCCGAUCCUUAUUCAUAAAGUACAUGCAAACGGGUAUGCAUACCCGACUUUAUUCCUUUAUAAAAGAAGUUUACAACCCAUAGGGCAGUCAUCCUUCACGCUACUUGGCUGGUUCAGGCCAUCGCCCAUUGACCAAUAUUCCUCACUGCUGCCUCCCGUAGGAGUUUGGACCGUGUCUCAGUUCCAAUGUGGGGGACCUUCCUCUCAGAACCCCUAUCCAUCGUUGACUAGGUGGGCCGUUACCCCGCCUACUAUCUAAUGGAACGCAUCCCCAUCGUCUACCGGAAAAUACCUUUAAUCAUGCGGACAUGUGAACUCAUGAUCCCAUCCUGGAUUAA